Molecule: long non-coding RNA, 546 nt
Organism: Dermacentor albipictus
Lineage: Eukaryota; Metazoa; Arthropoda; Arachnida; Ixodida; Ixodidae
Source: RefSeq, a predicted model, not a curated record
CAUAGAUGUCUUGGCUAAUGCGAAAACAUCAGGGCUCCGCAGGCGAAUUCCAGAAGGUUAAGUUUGCGCACCGCGAUGUACUUGAACGAAGCCUUUGCUCCGGGCGACGAGGCGUUUCGUGACAACGGUGCGGCGGAGGCUGAUGAGAUCGUUCACGUUCCACGGCCCAGUAACGAAGCAGGAGGAGCCGCUCCCGAUCACUCAGGCGACGGGCCCAGACUCUCCAAUCAGGAAAGCUGGACGUCCACAAAUGGACUGCGUAGUGAGUUCGAAAGAGCGGACAUUCUCCACCAUGUUUACAGAGGGCGUUGCAGUAAAUUGGGCGGAAGGCUUUACGGAGCCAAAAAGAGCGAUCGCUGACAACCAAGUCAACCACGCACGCUUCACAAAGUUUGCCGACUUUCAAGGAGCCGGCGAUUGUUUACAGCAGCCCGAAUACAACGGUGGCCAGCGCCUCCUCAGCACCGUGGACCGCUACGCGCUGGGCAUCAUCCAGCUGCUGAUCAUCACUUUGGCGACCUUGGCUUUCAUCUUCGUGCCCCUCGC